This 319-nucleotide ribosomal RNA is filed under the name uncultured eukaryote. Its description in RNAcentral is "partial 18S ribosomal RNA". It matches the Rfam family "Eukaryotic small subunit ribosomal RNA", at positions 1470 to 1796 of the family's 1831-position model. The record is from RNAcentral.
CCCUUAGAUGUUCUGGGCAGCACGCGCACUACAAUGGUCUUCGCAAACGGAUGCAUUCUCGAAGGAGAAUGCCAAUCUUGGAAUCUAUGCCUUGGUCGGGACAGUUGCUUGCAAUUUUUCGACUCGAACCAGGAAUUCCUUGUAAUCGUGAUUCAUCACAUCACGAUGAAUACGUCCCUGCCCUUUGUACACACCGCCCGUCGCUCCCACCGAUCGAAGAGUUAGGUGAAUUGUUUUGAUCGAUAAGAUUUGACUAUGGUCAACUCUCGUUGUGAAAUUCUGUGAAUCUGACUGUUUAGAGGAAGGAAAAGUCGUAACA